GCCUCAUCUGUCCUCAUCUUCAACAUUGAAGAGAUUGUCCCCUUAUGGCUCCUCUCUUAUUGAGGCUUAUCCCAGAAAAGUAAGGGCUGUUGAAAAUAUGGGUGAGUGUGGAAGAUUCAAAGCUGUAACCACAGCCUCCUUCCUGCAAAAGGAAAGGAGAAUCCUUAUAUUGUUUCAACACAUUUUCUUGAAAGAAUUGAAGAACCUGAUUAUUCUUGUAGUGAUAGUUCAGUUGGCAGUUGUAGUGUGAAAAGUAGUAAUUC
This is a non-coding RNA of Cajanus cajan (pigeon pea), 263 nucleotides long. The record is from RefSeq and is a predicted model, not a curated record. NCBI's taxonomy places the organism in Eukaryota, Viridiplantae, Streptophyta, Magnoliopsida, Fabales, Fabaceae.